RNAcentral lists this long non-coding RNA (529 nucleotides) under Rattus norvegicus (Norway rat). RNAcentral's name for it is "long non-coding RNA NONRATT015426". The record is from RNAcentral. Lineage: Eukaryota; Metazoa; Chordata; Mammalia; Rodentia; Muridae.
AUGUAUAAAAGUAUGGGAAAGAGAAAAGAAUAGAGGCCUCUUGGCUUUAGCUUGAUUGAGCAGUAUACCAGUGAUUGACAUGCCACUUCAUGACCCUAGAGCCCACACACAUCUCCCUCUCCCCAAAUUACUCUUCUCACCCCAUCUAGAGACUAGAAGUUCCCCUGCCCUUUUUGCCCAAGGCCCUCGGUAGUUUUUUGAGAUGGUAGCACCUGGGAAUGGGGAGAAUGUCCCCUAGCAAUCCUGAGGGUGAGUGGUUGGGUAGAGACAGCCCCGGGGCAGGGAAGAUGGUCUCUCCACUGUAGAAAGUAGAGUAGGAUCGUGGUCAGACUUAAUUUGAGGCAUCAAGUGACUCGUACAAAUCACCAAGGAAGAUUCCAAAUGCAGAGUAAAGGUGGGAAAUGAAACAGACCCAUGAGUAAUCAAGUCAAAGUGAAGUUGCACACAAUGCAGAGAAACCAAGAAGGGGGAGGGUUAAUGUAUUAAAUGUGCUAUGGAGAAGUUAAUUUUAUUAAAAGUAUUAUUACUU